GUGUAUGGCCAUACUACCCUGAAUGUGCCUGAUCUUGUCUGAUCUCAGAAGCUAAGCAGCGUUGGGCCUGCUUAGUACUUGGAUGGGAGACGAAUUCAGCUGUUGGGUACC
Molecule: ribosomal RNA, 111 nt
Filed under: Saimiri boliviensis boliviensis (Bolivian squirrel monkey)
Lineage: Eukaryota; Metazoa; Chordata; Mammalia; Primates; Cebidae
Source: RNAcentral